RNAcentral lists this transfer RNA (83 nucleotides) under Schistocephalus solidus. It matches the Rfam family "tRNA". From Rfam's summary of the family: Transfer RNA (tRNA) molecules are approximately 80 nucleotides in length. Their secondary structure includes four short double-helical elements and three loops (D, anti-codon, and T loops). Lineage: Eukaryota; Metazoa; Platyhelminthes; Cestoda; Diphyllobothriidea; Diphyllobothriidae. The record is from Rfam by way of RNAcentral.
GGUCUCGUUGCUCAGUUGGCUAGAGCGUUGGCUCUACUAAAGCCAUCCCCUUGCUGACGUGGGUUCAAAUCCCACCGAAACAA